Molecule: ribosomal RNA, 359 nt
Filed under: uncultured Allobrachymonas sp.
Lineage: Bacteria; Pseudomonadati; Pseudomonadota; Betaproteobacteria; Burkholderiales; Comamonadaceae
Description: bacterial SSU rRNA
Rfam family: Bacterial small subunit ribosomal RNA
Source: RNAcentral
AACCUGGAGACAGGUGCUGCAUGGCUGUCGUCAGCUCGUGUCGUGAGAUGUAGGGUUAAGUCCCGCAACGAGCGUCAACCCUUGUCUUUAAUUGCCAUCAUUGAGUUGGGCACUUUAAAGAGACUGCCGGUGUUAAACCGGAGGAAGGUGGGAUGACGUCAAGUCAGCAUGACCUUUAUAUCCAGGGCUACACACACGCUACAAUGGUCUGUACAAUGGGUAGCCAAGCCGCGAGGCGGAGCCAAGUCCUGAAAAGCAAGGCCUCAGUUCAGAUUGCAGUCUGCAACUCGACUGCAUGAAGCCGGAGUUGCUAGUAACCGCAGGUCAGCAAUACUGCGGUGAAUACGUUCCCGGGUCUU